UACGUAGGGGGCAAGCGUUGUCCGGAAUUAUUGGGCGUAAAGCGCGCGCAGGCGGUCGAUUAAGUCUGGUGUUUAAUCCUAGGGCUCAACCCUAGGUCGCACUGGAAACUGGUUGACUUGAGUACAGAAGAGGAAAGUGGAAUUCCACGUGUAGCGGUGAAAUGCGUAGAGAUGUGGAGGAACACCAGUGGCGAAGGCGACUUUCUGGGCUGUAACUGACGCUGAGGCGCGAAAGCGUGGGGAGCAAACAGG
RNAcentral lists this ribosomal RNA (252 nucleotides) under uncultured bacterium. RNAcentral describes it as "partial 16S ribosomal RNA". It matches the Rfam family "Bacterial small subunit ribosomal RNA", at positions 524 to 776 of the family's 1533-position model. The record is from RNAcentral.